This is a long non-coding RNA of Amphiprion ocellaris (clown anemonefish), 505 nucleotides long. The record is from Ensembl. Lineage: Eukaryota; Metazoa; Chordata; Actinopteri; Pomacentridae.
GGAAACAAAUGAGAGCUGAGACGGAGCUGGUGGUAGACAAGGCAGGGAACAGCAGGAAUCCAGGGAUCGUGUAUCUGAAGGAAAGGAGGGCACUGUACCUGGAUCCAUUCAGGGCAACAGAGGAACAGAUCAAGAAGUGCAAAGAUGUAACAAGAGCACUGGUCCGCACAGUGUGUCCUGCAGUAACAAAGUGGAUGUGUGCAACACUGCCCCAUCCAAAACAGCAGGACUCGACAUCAUGUGGUGUAUUCGUGUGCAAGCUUGCAGAACAAAUUCUACAGAAAAGGAGAUACAGUAUCCUGUAGACCAGGAGGGCGUGGCCAGGCUAAGGCUCGACAUAGCAAUAUCAUUGCUGAAAGAUUCAGGUAAACCUGAGGAGAUUGAGUGCACCACCUGUGGGAGGUGGUACCAUAUGUCUUGUGUGGGGCAUCCACCUACAGAUGGGGACUACCACUGCAAUAGCUGCCAAUAAAUAUGUUAAAUCAAAAGGAAAUGCUGUCUUUUC